UUUACCCUUUCUUCCAUAUUUUUCUUGCACGAUGAGGUGGAAUAGUUACAAGCUAUCAGAAUGUAUCACUUCAAGAGGUGGAAACAUUUUCAAUUCUGAUAUUUUUGUACCUGAGCACAAGAAUGUAUAGAAGGUCUGUUGCUCUAUCAUGUACUUAAUUGUAUUUUAGCACAUUUCAAUUCCAAGUAAAUAAGCUCAUUUUAUGCUUUCUUUUUUUGGAAUAUUUGGCUUAUGUUUGAGGUACUAUUUGGGUAGGUUUAGCUUGAAGUUAUAGUCCC
RNAcentral lists this long non-coding RNA (278 nucleotides) under Coffea arabica (coffee). Its description in RNAcentral is "long non-coding RNA (CARA_LNC006595)". The record is from RNAcentral. Lineage: Eukaryota; Viridiplantae; Streptophyta; Magnoliopsida; Gentianales; Rubiaceae.